Long non-coding RNA from Falco peregrinus (peregrine falcon), 908 nucleotides. RefSeq lists it as uncharacterized. The transcript is spliced from 3 exons. The record is from RefSeq and is a predicted model, not a curated record. Lineage: Eukaryota; Metazoa; Chordata; Aves; Falconiformes; Falconidae.
GGAAGGAGAAAGAGAGAAAACAAAAAGAUCAGUAAAGUCAGAGGACUGUCCCCUGCCCCCUGUUAGCAACCAAGACCAUUUGCCACCCAACAUGGUGCCUGAGGGAGCGACAACUUCAAUAACUUUGGGCAAAGGCUCCUGAGUUACUUGGAAGCUCCUGCCCACACGGGUAGCCAGAAAAACAUCAGGAAUAUCUAAGUUUCUCAAAAAUGUUCUCAAACCACUAGCUGCUGCUGAACCCUCUGACAAGGCAGGAGACACUAAGUGUGAUGCUCCCCACAUUUCUACCAGGAAAGAAGCCAGCAUGGCUAUUUUUGUCAUCAGUUUUGUUUUGCACAAGGGCUGGAAGAGGAUCCCUGUGGUGUUUUAUUCAUCCUUGGCUAGAAACUGCAGUCCAAGGCUUUCAUCAAGACUCCGGCAGACCCAUAAACACGGCUCUUCUCUGCACGCACAGAUAAUUUGGGGGCUAGUUAGCCAAGAGAACUUGAAUCAUAGUCUUGAAGCACAGGCAAAGCAUUCAUUCCUGAAAAACCACUGGCUCCUAAAAUACUCUGAGCUUGUUUGCAAUCCUGAAAAUUGCUAGCCAUCGGCGGGUAAGCAGAACACAGAAACAGGACUGAAAAAAUGAAAUAAAACCCAGGGUGCCUGCAUUAAGUGGAAAGUGCUUUGCACAACAACGUUGUAUCGACAAUGAAACAGCCAGCUGCUAACAGUUCCUGCCACCCUCUUCCCUUGUAGCUCACUAUUAUUAAACAUAAUUUGACUAAAGCACUGAACAUUUAACUUGCUAAUUGUCUUCCUCAUCACCAGCUCGAUGGCACUGAAGUUGCAGCUUUGAAAUUGCAACCGAUCUGCUUUAAUGUUCCAGGGCUGUUGAUGGAGGGCAGGGAGGAGAGGGAGGGGAGAUG